This 497-nucleotide ribosomal RNA is filed under the name uncultured bacterium. RNAcentral describes it as "partial 16S ribosomal RNA". It matches the Rfam family "Bacterial small subunit ribosomal RNA", at positions 28 to 507 of the family's 1533-position model. The record is from RNAcentral.
GAUGAACGCUGGCGGCGUGCCUAAUACAUGCAAGUCGAGCGAACAGACGAGGAGCUUGCUCCUCUGACGUUAGCGGCGGACGGGUGAGUAACACGUGGAUAACCUACCUAUAAGACUGGGAUAACUUCGGGAAACCGGAGCUAAUACCGGAUAACAUGUUGAACCGCAUGGUUCAACAGUGAAAGACGGUCUUGCUGUCACUUAUAGAUGGAUCCGCGCCGCAUUAGCUAGUUGGUAAGGUAACGGCUUACCAAGGCAACGAUGCGUAGCCGACCUGAGAGGGUGAUCGGCCACACUGGAACUGAGACACGGUCCAGACUCCUACGGGAGGCAGCAGUAGGGAAUCUUCCGCAAUGGGCGAAAGCCUGACGGAGCAACGCCGCGUGAGUGAAGAAGGUCCUCGGAUCGUAAAACUCUGUUAUUAGGGAAGAACAAAUGUGUAAGUAACUAUGCACGUCUUGACGGUACCUAAUCAGAAAGCCACGGCUAACUACGUG